GGGGGCGCGAGGGUGCUAUAGGGCGCUAUGGGGCGCUGCUCUCCGCCUUCAUUCCUCGCCCCCCCCGGCCCGCACAGCCCCCCCCGCAUCACCCCCGUGUACCCCCCGCGGCUGCCUCACCGCUCCCGGCGGCUCUCCCCGCUUGGAAAUGGAGAGCGGCGGCGCUCGCCAGGGCUCGCCGGCAUCCCGCGAGAGGAAGUAGCUGAGACAGGACGUGGAGCCAAGAGAGCUGCCAGUGGCCACCCAGGCCCCGCAACCCUUGUGAGGGGCAGGGAUGGCGGUGGUAUGGCCACAGGGGCCAUGCGUAGCAAGCCACGUGUCCCCAGCAAAACGACUGUUCCCUUCCUUCAUUCAUUCCCCCAGCUGAAGGCAUUUUCCCUCUGGAGCACAUCCUCCCAAAGGCUUUUUGAAGCAUUCACCUCCGCGUAUUUGUAUUUAUUUCCCCAGCCCAGCAUUCGGUCAGGCUGCUCUGAGUGGGGAUCGCAGGUGCCAUCAUGGAGGCCCACGGUGAGCACCUGCCAAUGCAAAGGGGGCAUAUCCCCCACACUGACCACCGUCAUCACUGCUGUGUGCUCACAGCUUAUUUGUGCCCGUGCCUGCGUGCGAAACACAUGUGCACAAGCACACAUGUCUGUGGAUAUGCAUAUAUCCAAUAGCGGCGGCCCUGGUAAGCAGAGCGGUGAUUUCUCUCCUCCAGAUAGAUGUAUAAUGCACACACACGGCGAUGAUACCUAAGGUGUUUGGGGGUGGGGAUGCAUAAUAUCUUCUAAAUUUGAAGUUUUUAUCAGGCAGAGCAGAUUACUUUAAGCGUUCCAUUUCUCAGCGAUCCAAUUUUAUUAGGAUUUACUAUCAUUUGUGCUGGGCAUCCCUGGGGAAAUAAUGCUUUGAUUAAUGUAAUCCUGGGCUGGGAUCCGCCACAUGCCCCUCUCCCUGGAGAAGGGCCCUGUUUGACAAACAACAACAGAGCAGCAACUCUUGCAAUCCGCGCUCACCUUUAGGAAACACGCGGCCACGCUCGCACAGAACGCUGCCACCGCCUCCCCCCCAUAGCCCAGGCACAAUAGCAGCGCUGCGAAACAAUGUGCGCUCAUUCAUUUGCACACAAUGCCCGCGAUUCAGUGCGGGCUGUACGGCCCAACCCUCGGCUGCACGGAGCCAGCCCAGAAAGGACACCGCUCCGCUCCCCGCUGGGAAGCCGCAGCAUCUCGAGGAGCUCAAUGCCUCUCUGUAUUGCAGCUCUCCGUGGGCUCACAGCACUUCUGUCUCUUUGUUUCCCGCUUCAGGCCUCGCUGCAAACUGAUUUCCAGGCUGUGACCCGCCCCCCCCACACCCCCCCCCGGGCCAGAGGCUCCCCCGGAGAGUGCGGUCAGAACGUAUGGAUCCAUUUCUCUGCCUUUUGGGGGUGUUCCGGCCACUGCCACGCACGUUUGUCCGUGCCAAAGGCUGGCAGGGGCUGUUGUGUUAUUCACGUGGGUCUGGGGGAAUACACACGCCCAGGGCAAGAGGCCAACGCCAGGUGACCCGACGCUCCUCCCUCCCUUCACCCCCGAGCGGUCAAAAUGGCAAUAUAAUGAUUAUUUCUACCCCAAACACGCGGGUCCCGCUGCACCCAAGGAGAGUGACAAAGGCCACGCGUGGGCUACUCCACUUCGAGCGUGAAUUGUCAAACCCGGGGACAGAGGAGGGAGGGGUGCUCUGGGGUUCACCAUAGGGCGCCGCUGUGUGCGCGCACGCCGCUGACCCCGACGCGGUGACUCAGCGCUGCGGUGGCUGAGCGGCCGCACGGGGAGUCCCCCCCCCUCCCUCCCUCUUUUCUUUCCUGAUGAAAAACGGUGCAGUUCCGUCUCUGCGUGCUGGUCGGGGAGUCCAGCUAACACGCCUUAAACGCGUUGUCAGGCGCUGGUUAAAGAAGGAAGGCGGGGGGGGGGGGGGGGGGGGGAAGAGAGAAGGGGGCAAAACCAGGCGUGCAGUGUUGUGCGUGCCCGGAGUGCGCCUCUCUCCCUUCCCUCUCCCUCUUCUCUCACCACGGGCUCCAUCCCCCGUUCCCCACUUCCCUCCACUCCUGCACACCGCUGCCGCCGGGCUGGGGGGGUCCCCUCCUCUGCGGGGCGGGGGGGGGGAGACGAUGGAUAACGUUAACUUCGGGCUGUGGUGGAGUUGAGCUGAGCUGCGGGCAACGUGCCACGAACGCUUCGAAGUACCCCGCAGCAGAGAAUGGAUAGAUCGGGGGAGCGGGUGUGAAACGCGCACGUAGAAACUCAACGCACGGCAGUGUAAACCCCCCAAAGCGGGUUAAAUCAAUCCCAAUACGGGGAGAUGAAAUAAAAAUAAAUAAAUAAAUAAACAAACAAACAAAGCAGGGUAAAAGCGUGGCUGCCGCAUUCACGCACGGAGAGAGGAGCCGGCAGCGUGUGCGUGUUUGUGUGCGGUGCCAAAAAGAGCAGCUUCCAGGUCGACCCGCCGCAAUCUGCACCGCGCUCCUCACACAAUGGCCAAGUUCACAUGGCAAAAAUUGUAAUAAUAAGAGCAGAGCCGCCAAACUGCGCCCGGGCUGCUUUCUGGUGCGCCACAAUUCUUCCCCUCCUUAUCCACUACGAGACUGCCCGUCUCUGCGCGCGUAAAAGAAAAUCUAUGCAGUGCAUAUGGAUCUUUCUCCCCCCCCACACCCCCCCCCUUUUUUUUUCACAUGUGAAACGCCAUUGAGAUGGCGAGCACGCAAAUGGGAAUGCUAUCAUGUCUCAUAAAAGCGGGGCUACGGUUUUCACCGUCUUUUAAGACAGACUCCAACUUGCAAAUCCCCCUUUUUAUGUCCCUACGUGCAGAAUUAUUCCUAUAAACACAAACGUGCGUGUGCGAGGAGCUGCUGGGUAACAGCACGGCCCCGCGAUUUUAACGUCGAAGGGAGCACCGGGUUUCCAUCCCGUGUACCGAGAGGGUCAACGGAGACCGUUCCCAUCCUUGAGCAACUUUCGUCUCAGGGGCGGACGGCGCCGUCCAACCUCCCGCAGCCACGAGCACAGCGGAUCCGGCACGGGAGAGUUCGGGCAGCGCGGAGCGGUGCGCUUCGGCCAAGGGUGGCACCGGGAUCCCAGCGCAGUGCCGCACUCCGCGCGGCCGGGCUUUACGCACAGCGCAGUACGCGGGAGGUGUCUUUACGUUUAACGUUUUAAUUUGGACAUGCUAAUUAGGCUGUGGGUCUCCACGGUUCUAUCGGCGGAUAGCUGAUCGCUUCCCUCUGCGAGGAAGUGUCUGCUAAAUACAUUUCCCGGCCCCGAUCUCCGUUCCCAGAAGCCCGUCUAGCAGAACCGUCCCGUCGGGCGAAACGGACCUUUAAUAAUGGAAGGCCGAGGGAGGUUCUGCGCAGCGGCGCACCGCCUCGGGCACGGCCCCAACGCGGCCCUCUGCAGCGGAGCCAUCGAAAUAACUCCGUGCCCAGCGAACUUGUUGCUCGCUUUCAGCUCCUCCGCUCACCCCGGCUCGGGUCGGUGCCAGGCGAGGGGCAGAGGCAGCCUGGGGGAGAAGCCGCCGCUGUCGGGGUGAGAAACUUCCCGGGCUCCAAAGCCGCCCGCUCUGGGCGUCGAGGGGCAGCGGCCGCUCCGCUGCUGGGAACUGCGCCCUGGCCAUGUGUUUUCCCCGUGUGGAACGUUGCUCGCAAGUGCGGGAGGUGGAAAGUUUUGUUCACGUCAUUAUCUCAAAGCUUUCCCCGCGCGGUCAGUGGACGCAGAGGCUUCACUCCGUUUUCCGAAUGAAAACCCACGGACGCUUGAUGUGAAAAGUGCAUGCUCCCGUGGGCCGUGCUUUCCCCGAUUACUUUCUUUUUUCUUUUUCUUUUUCUUUUUUUCUUUCACUUUCUUGGCUCCGUCCCGCCAGGAUCUCUCUACGUUUACGGGCUGUACGGUUUCCAGGGCUCCAAUGGGGCUUUCCCUGAUGGAGGCGAGGAACAGAACUUUCCCACUCGCUCGGAAACUGCCGAGGAUCCGGCGGGGGGAGCACACAAAGAGGCCCCAAAUCCCCCCCGGGGCUCAGGGACAUCCCCUGCAGGUGCAGGACCAAAGCUGCAGGGAUGGCCCAAAGCGGUGCAUGUGUCGCUCUCGUCCCCUAUUAUGAGCACUACGGGAGUGAAACGGGGGGUGCGGAGCGGGUUCUUGGGACAGCGGUUCUUGAGCCCACGCACGUUGGUGAAGGGAAACGCGGGGCCGUGCGCGCCGUCGGGCUGAGCCAGGGUUAAUGCCUGCGGGCCCAGACACGCUGUGCUCCGGGCGGGGGGUGGGGGGGUGGUGGCGAGGGGGCUCUGCCAGCUGCUCCCGCAGCGUGGGGAGCGGGAGGGGCGGAAAGGAGGAGCCAUCAGAUUAGGGCACACAAAAACAUUUAAAAAAAUAAAAUAAAAAAAAUAUAUAAAAAGACUACUUUUCCAGGCUUAACACAGCCAUUAAAUAUUAAAAGUUCAAAAAAAAUUAUAUAUAUAUGUAUAUAUAUAAAAGACCACGAGUCGUUUUAUUGCAUCUCCACGGGCUUAAGCGCUUUAUUUGGGCGAUAAAAAAUAUUAAAACAAACAAAUAAAUCAAAAUCGUGUGUGUAAUUGGUGCCCUCACUCCCUUGACGGCCUCGGAUCCCUCGCAGGUAUCGCCCCCCGAUCCCGCAGCUCCACCCCCAGCAAUCCCG
Molecule: long non-coding RNA, 4662 nt
Filed under: Gallus gallus (chicken)
Lineage: Eukaryota; Metazoa; Chordata; Aves; Galliformes; Phasianidae
Description: lncRNA (ENSGALG00010016323.1)
Source: RNAcentral